Molecule: long non-coding RNA, 277 nt
Filed under: Phoenix dactylifera (date palm)
Lineage: Eukaryota; Viridiplantae; Streptophyta; Magnoliopsida; Arecales; Arecaceae
Description: long non-coding RNA (PDAC_LNC007407)
Source: RNAcentral
GGGGGAUUGAAUCAAGGGGAUUGAGGUUGGUUGGUGAGCCGAGUGUAAAACCAACGUGUGUAAGGGUUUGAUUGUGAUCCCGGGAAAACAAUCGGGGCGGUUCUAGUCGGUGAGCCUGGGAAAACCGACCGAGUUCGUUGUGAGCUCGUAAAACAAUAAGUUUGGUUGUGAGCUUGGAAAACAACCGGCUGUAAUCCAAGGGGGUUAUAGUGAAUUCCCAAGUGAGACUUGGGGAGUGGACGUAGGAGCAAGGGUUAGCUCCGAACCACUAUAAAAC